Long non-coding RNA from Daktulosphaira vitifoliae (grape phylloxera), 2115 nucleotides. RefSeq lists it as uncharacterized. The record is from RefSeq and is a predicted model, not a curated record. The transcript is spliced from 3 exons. NCBI's taxonomy places the organism in Eukaryota, Metazoa, Arthropoda, Insecta, Hemiptera, Phylloxeridae.
UUUAAAAACUACAAAACUCUCCACAUCAUUGUGUAGUAGAAUUGAUACUAUAUUUAUUAAAACAGUUUUCAUGAUUAAAAGUAAAGAUUUCUAGUUGUCCCUAACUUUUGCAUUUAUAUAUCCCAACACUGAAUGAUGAAAUAUUGAUGUUAUCAGCCUUGCCGAAAAGUUCAUUAAUGAAAAGAAAUCUCCGUCCUACAAAAUGCAUACAAUUAUUUUGUUUAAUAAGAUUUUCCACAACAAAUUUAAUAAUAUUUUGGUCUUUCACUAUUAUACAAUCAUCACUAUGGGUAAAUUUACUUCUUUUUUCUUUAUUUCUUAUUUGUAUUUUAAAAUGUUCAAAUUGAAUACACAUAAAUUGUUCAUAAAUUCCUGUUAUAUGUAGUAAAGGUCCAUUAUUAUGUUUUUCUCUAUAAGUGGGAAAAUCUUUUGAGGUAAGUAAAAAUUUUUCAUCACGUGCUGAUCUGUCUUCUGUAAUUCUAUUAUACAUUUCUGUUAUAGCAUAGCGUUCAGAUUUUAAGUACUUUUUUAAUCUGCUUAAAUAGUUUUCAUACCAUAAAGCAUUGAAGUAAUUGAUGUUACCAUAUUUUAGUACAUCAUUGGGAAGAUGAAGUAAGGAAUGUACAUUAUAUGAUAUUAAAAAUGGCCUGUAAAUUAUACCAAAUGUUUGAAACAUCAUUUUCUUUUUUUUCUAUUGCUUUUGGUGAUACAAGGAUUUGCAUUUAUGUGUGAUAUACUUAUAUAAAAUAAUUGUAUGUUGUAGAAUAGUAUUGAUACGAUCACAUUUGCAUGUGCCCAUAUCUCUGUCUCCCAUAACAUCGUUGUACCGUUUAAUAGACAUAUAUAUAUAAUUAACACAGUGACAUACAACAAUACUAACAGGAGGGCGGACUGCACACAUAAACACUUUUUGCAAUUCACGGCCAAUGUGCCAUAUUAAGAUAUCCCUAUCGACAGUUGACAUUUUACCAUCUUCGCGAUCACUACUUUUGCAUGAUAAUUAACUUAACUUCGCUAUCCCGUAUAUUAUAGUGUGUGUGUGUGUCGCCGUCAGCUCCCUGUUGGAUUAAUCAUCUCUAGGUGUCCAGCAGGUUGUAUUAUCCAUUUAAUAUUUCAAUUGUUAAUAUUUAUUUAUAUCGUUGUUAACCUAAAGUGUUAUAUAUAUAUAUAUUGUAGUGCGACCCUUGGUAGUUCCUCUAAGGGAAUAUAAAUUAAAUAGGAAACUUCAGUACCUAAGGUAGAUAUAGCCUAGCCAGCUAUCCCCCGUUGGUCCCUUAGAAUACUGUCGACGGGCAUUUAGGUUAAACCCCUAAAUAGCGACGUAACAGUAUUAUAAAUUUUUUUCUGUAUUUUUUUUAAAGAAACAUUUGAAGAAGGUAAUACAGCAUUGAGCAACUACACCUCAGAUAAGUCUCACAUAAAACUUAAUAAACGUUUAAUAGUUCCCAAUAAAUGUUAAUUAAGUUCUGAUGAUGAACAGGUUUUUAAAAAGAUAAAAAAUACAAAUGCAUUUUCAAUGCCAGAUAUGCCAACAUAAGAAUCUUUUGAUAAUGAAAAAAAUUUGCAUCUGAAUUUAGAUUUAAUAGCAUUGAAAGACUGUUCCAAUAAUCAAGAUAAUUUCAUUAUAGUUAUUUCACAAGUCAAUACUGGAAAUGUAUGCUUUUACCAAUGUAAUAAAGUAUAAAUUUUUUUUUAGUUUUCGGUAGUUUACAAAUUUUUAUUUAAUCGAAAGCUAAAUUUCUAGGGCCUCACAUUUUUUUUUUCAUAACCUAAAGCCUUAGUGUUACUCUGUUUAUUAUAAAUAUUAUGUGUACUAUGGUCAAUGGUGGGGAGGGUUAUAGCCUUAUCAGCUACCUGUGUUAUAUUCUUACUACUAAUAAUAAUAAUUAUAAAUUUAAUUAAUUAAUUUCUCAGAUGUUGUUUAUAUUUUACAAAAUAUCACAGAAACAGAAUAUGAGACAUACUUAGGUCAGUGGCUCAGACAAGACAGCAACAGAAAAAAUUAAAAAAAAAACCUUAUAAUUUGAUAUAUAAAUUAUUAUUAUUAUUAGGGAAUAUUUAUGUAUCAUUAAUUUGUUAAUAUUAUUUAUUAAUAAAAAAAAUUCAAGAACAUUA